This 253-nucleotide ribosomal RNA is filed under the name uncultured bacterium. RNAcentral describes it as "partial 16S ribosomal RNA". It matches the Rfam family "Bacterial small subunit ribosomal RNA", at positions 524 to 776 of the family's 1533-position model. The record is from RNAcentral.
AACGUAGGUACCUAGCGUUAUCCGGAUUUACUGGGCGUAAAGCGCGUUCAGGCGGUUUGGCGAGUCGGGCAUGAAAUCUCUCGGCUCAACCGGGAGAGGUUGUCCGAUACUGCUGGACUUGAGGGCAGUAGAGGGUGGUGGAAUUCCGGGUGUAGUGGUGAAAUGCGUAGAUAUCCGGAGGAACACCAGUGGCGAAAGCGGCCACCUGGACUGCACCUGACGCUGACACGCGAAAGCUAGGGGAGCGAACGGG